Cercocebus atys (sooty mangabey) is the source of this 107-nucleotide small nuclear RNA. Lineage: Eukaryota; Metazoa; Chordata; Mammalia; Primates; Cercopithecidae. The record is from Ensembl.
GUGCUUGCUUUGAAAGCAUAUAUACUAAAAUUGGAAAGAUACGAAGAAGAUUAGCAUGGCCCCUAUGCAAGGAUGACAAACAGAUUACUGAAGCAUUUCAUGUUUGG